This 253-nucleotide ribosomal RNA is filed under the name uncultured Oscillospiraceae bacterium. Its description in RNAcentral is "partial 16S ribosomal RNA". It matches the Rfam family "Bacterial small subunit ribosomal RNA", at positions 524 to 776 of the family's 1533-position model. The record is from RNAcentral. Lineage: Bacteria; Bacillati; Bacillota; Clostridia; Eubacteriales; Oscillospiraceae.
UACGUAGGUGGCAAGCGUUGUCCGGAUUUACUGGGUGUAAAGGGCGUGCAGCCGGGCUGACAAGUCAGAUGUGAAAUCCCGCGGCUCAACCGCGGAACUGCAUUUGAAACUGCUUCCCUUGAGUAUCGGAGAGGUAACCGGAAUUCCUAGUGUAGCGGUGAAAUGCGUAGAUAUUAGGAGGAACACCAGUGGCGAAGGCGGCUUGCUGGACGGUAACUGACGUUGAGGCUCGAAAGCGUGGGGAGCAAACAGG